Molecule: ribosomal RNA, 497 nt
Filed under: uncultured bacterium
Lineage: Bacteria
Description: partial 16S ribosomal RNA
Rfam family: Bacterial small subunit ribosomal RNA
Source: RNAcentral
GAUGAACGCUGGCGGCGUGCCUAAUACAUGCAAGUCGAGCGAACAGAUGAGGAGCUUGCUCCUCUGACGUUAGCGGCGGACGGGUGAGUAACACGUGGAUAACCUACCUAUAAGACUGGGAUAACUUCGGGAAACCGGAGCUAAUACCGGAUAAUAUAUUGAACCGCAUGGUUCAAUAGUGAAAGACGGUUUUGCUGUCACUUAUAGAUGGAUCCGCGCCGCAUUAGCUAGUUGGUAAGGUAACGGCUUACCAAGGCAACGAUGCGUAGCCGACCUGAGAGGGUGAUCGGCCACACUGGAACUGAGACACGGUCCAGACUCCUACGGGAGGCAGCAGUAGGGAAUCUUCCGCAAUGGGCGAAAGCUUGACGGAGCAACGCCGCGUGAGUGAUGAAGGUCUUCGGAUCGUAAAACUCUGUUAUUAGGGAAGAACAAAUGUGUAAGUAACUAUGCACGUCUCGACGGUACCUAAUCAGAAAGCCACGGCUAACUACGUG